GUAGGUGGCAAGCGUUGUCCGGAAUUAUUGGGCGUAAAGCGCGCGCAGGGCGGUCCUUUAAGUCUGAUGUGAAAGCCCACGGCUCAACCGUGGAGGGUCAUUGGAAACUGGGGGACCUGAGUACAGAAGAGGAAAGCGGAAUUCCAAGUGUAGCGGUGAAAUGCGUAGAGAUUUGGAGGAACACCAGUGGCGAAGGCGGCUUUCUGGUCUGUAACUGACGCUGGGGCGCGAAAGCGUGGGGAGCAAACAGGAUUAGAUACCCUGGUAGUCCACGCCGUAAACGAUGAGUGCUAAGUGUUAGGGGGUUUCCGCCCCUUAGUGCUGCAGCUAACGCAUUAAGCACUCCGCCUGGGGAGUACGGCCGCAAAGGCUG
Molecule: ribosomal RNA, 373 nt
Filed under: uncultured organism
Description: partial 16S ribosomal RNA
Rfam family: Bacterial small subunit ribosomal RNA
Source: RNAcentral